UCGCGGCUUAUCACCGGCAGUCGCCUUAGAGUGCCCAACUAAAUGAUGGCAACUAAGGCCGAGGGUUGCGCUCGUUGCGGGACUUAACCCAACAUCUCACGACACGAGCUGACGACAGCCAUGCAGCACCUGUGUUCCGAUUCCCUUUCGGGCACCCCCACCUCUCAGCAGGGUUCCGGACAUGUCAAGGGUAGGUAAGGUUGUUCGCGUUGCGUCGAAUUAAACCACAUGCUCCACCGCUUGUGCGGGCCCCCGUCAAUUCCUUUGAGUUUCAGCCUUGCGGCCGUACUCCCCAGGCGGGGUACUUCACGCGUUAGCUGCGUUACCAAGUCAAUUAAGACCCGACAACUAGUAGACAUCGUUUAGGGCGUGGACUAC
This 378-nucleotide unclassified non-coding RNA is filed under the name uncultured Pseudomonadota bacterium. RNAcentral describes it as "uncultured proteobacterium contains 16S-23S intergenic spacer region". The record is from RNAcentral. Lineage: Bacteria; Pseudomonadati; Pseudomonadota.